GAAGCGGCAACAGCUCAAAUUUGAAAUCUGGCCCCCUCGGCGCCCGUGUAGUAAUCUSUAGAGGGUGUUUCUGGCGAGAUGUCGGUCUAAGUUCCUUGGAACAAGACGUCGUAGAGGGUGAGAAUCCCGUAUGCGACCGGCAAUCAAGCCCGUGCGAAGCCCCUUCGACGAGUCGAGUUGUUUGGGAAUGCAGCUCCAAAUGGGUGGUAAAUUUCAUCUAAAGCUAAAUACCGGCCAGACGCUGCUCGUCAGCGGUGCACUCGCCUGCGAUCCGGCCAGCAUCGGUUUGGGCGGCGGGAGAAAAGUCCCGGGAACGUAGCUUCUCGCGGGGAGUCUUAUAGCCCGGGUCGCAAUGCCGCCCGCCCGGACCGAGGACCGCGCUUCGGCUAGGAUGCUGGCGUAAUGGUUGCAAGCG
Molecule: ribosomal RNA, 415 nt
Filed under: Sticta aff. harrisii
Lineage: Eukaryota; Fungi; Ascomycota; Lecanoromycetes; Peltigerales; Lobariaceae
Description: partial 28S ribosomal RNA
Rfam family: Eukaryotic large subunit ribosomal RNA (bases 1-257)
Source: RNAcentral